Long non-coding RNA from Symphalangus syndactylus (siamang), 218 nucleotides. RefSeq lists it as uncharacterized. The record is from RefSeq and is a predicted model, not a curated record. NCBI's taxonomy places the organism in Eukaryota, Metazoa, Chordata, Mammalia, Primates, Hylobatidae.
ACUCAAGCUGUGCUCAGCCUUCAUCAGAGACAGAUACAGAUGGAGGCAGUAGCGUGGUAACAUCUCAAAAUCAAGCAUCCAGCGGCUGAAUCCAAAAAACACAAGGAACAAGUUGCAACAAAGAAGAUAAGCUGUGGAAGCUAGGAUUUCAGAAAAUUUAGAUUUAAGGACAAGUGCCAAUCAAGGAUAAAGCUGAAACUGCAGAGAGCCCGGCAUUC